Long non-coding RNA from Amphimedon queenslandica, 570 nucleotides. RefSeq lists it as uncharacterized. The transcript has 2 exons. The record is from RefSeq and is a predicted model, not a curated record. NCBI's taxonomy places the organism in Eukaryota, Metazoa, Porifera, Demospongiae, Haplosclerida, Niphatidae.
UUUUUACAUGUAAAUGAUUAUUAUCAGCUCAUCCUACAUUGUACAUCCCUGACAUCUCUCACACACCAGCAUAGAAUGAAUCCGUACUUUCUAAUUGUCAGUAUUUUGAUAUUAUUUAUUUCUUAUAAUUAACGAUAUUAUGGAGUUGUUCAACCAUCUCAUUCUUGCUUUUGUGCUUCUGUGGAUGUUGCAAGGGCAACCAUGUCAAUACCAGGAUGGAGUUCUUUAAAGAUUCAAUCUGAUUGGUGGGCACAUGCCACAGACCCAAAUAACAAUGUUGUGUUUCUUAAUACAUACAAAUUUGGUACUACAUUAGAAGAUAAGAUAUCUGAUCAAAAUGUGUAAUUUUUUGAAGUUAAUAGUUCUGAUCAUUAUUGAGACUUUAUUACAGGCACAUGUACAUGUGCAUAAUAAUUGUGUGGUUGUAGGAGGAAAAACUUGUAACCUUUUAAAAUUCUGUAUAUUAUAAUUGGACUUGCCACGCUUGCGUAGGUGGGUACUAAGCAUUUAGGUGUCAUUCUGUCCACAAAGUUCAAUUGAUUUUUAAAAAAGUAUAUUGUUUUGACUGAG